UACGUAGGGGGCAAGCGUUGUCCGGAUUUAUUGGGCGUAAAGAGCGUGUGGGCGGCUGGGUAGGUCCGUUGUGAAAACUCGAGGCUCAACCUCGAGACGCCGAUGGAAACCCCCCGGCUAGAGUCCGGAAGAGGAGAGUGGAAUUCCUGGUGUAGCGGUGAAAUGCGCAGAUAUCAGGAAGAACACCCGUGGCGAAGGCGGCUCUCUAGUACGGUACUGACGCUGAGACGCGAAAGCGUGGGGAGCGAACAGG
Molecule: ribosomal RNA, 253 nt
Filed under: uncultured bacterium
Lineage: Bacteria
Description: partial 16S ribosomal RNA
Rfam family: Bacterial small subunit ribosomal RNA
Source: RNAcentral